Onychomys torridus (southern grasshopper mouse) is the source of this 271-nucleotide long non-coding RNA. RefSeq lists it as uncharacterized. NCBI's taxonomy places the organism in Eukaryota, Metazoa, Chordata, Mammalia, Rodentia, Cricetidae. The transcript has 3 exons. The record is from RefSeq and is a predicted model, not a curated record.
UCUAUCUGCAUGGCUGUAAGCCAAGAGCAGCUGGCAAAGUCUACUCCAAAGAUAUGGACUCCAGAAUAAUUCCAGAUGAAGAAAUGGGCAGAAUGCUGGACUUUCACAGGAGAAAUCUCUGCUUCAGCCUUAAGGAUCAAUGUUGAUGCAAACUACAGGGCCUGUCCAGAAGGAAGAGGGAACCAGAUAAAACCUGUUUGGACAAGCUGUUAUUAUCCACGCUGAGCGGAAAGUCUGGUGGUGAGCAGGGACCUGUAAUCAGCUCUUUACA